GCCCUCGUGGUGAAACGGAUAUCACGACAGGCUUCGGACCUGUUAUUCCCCGUUCGAAUCGGGGCGAGGGCA
Molecule: transfer RNA, 72 nt
Filed under: Candidatus Komeilibacteria bacterium RIFCSPLOWO2_02_FULL_48_11
Lineage: Bacteria; Candidatus Komeiliibacteriota
Description: tRNA-Arg
Rfam family: tRNA
About the family: Transfer RNA (tRNA) molecules are approximately 80 nucleotides in length.
Source: RNAcentral